AUGCUUUGGCAGCACGUAUGCUAAAAUUAGAACAAUACAGAGAAGAUAGCAUGGCUCUUAUGCAACAAUGACAUGCAAAUUUGUGAAGCAUUCCAUAUUUUU
This is a small nuclear RNA of Prolemur simus (greater bamboo lemur), 102 nucleotides long. NCBI's taxonomy places the organism in Eukaryota, Metazoa, Chordata, Mammalia, Primates, Lemuridae. The record is from Ensembl.